GCCUUCUAUGAUGUCAUGGCAGGAUGGGUCGAUGUGCGGAGAGCAGUGGAUGUUGUCUACCUUGACUUCAGUGAGGCUUUUGGCACUGCCUUCCAUAACAUCCUCAUAGGUAAGAGCAAGCCAAACUUUUCUCACCUGUUGCCUUUUUAUUGACGGAGCAUCCUAAUUGCACAGAGCAUCCUAAUAGCACUUUCUGACCUUAUUUUACUUUACCAUCUUGGAAAGAAACAGGAUGGAUCUAGGAAGCUCAGACUACAUGCAGUAAAAUCCACUGGAUUGGAAUUACAUCAAUUUUGCAUUCAGCUCAGUAAAUGAAAAUGUAUUUAUGCAGCCUGAAACUAAUGCCCAGGAUUUAUUUUAGAAUUUAAAUAAAGCUCAAUUUUGACAACCAUUAAUUAAAAA
This is a long non-coding RNA of Corapipo altera (White-ruffed manakin), 402 nucleotides long. RefSeq lists it as uncharacterized. The transcript has 3 exons. The record is from RefSeq and is a predicted model, not a curated record. NCBI's taxonomy places the organism in Eukaryota, Metazoa, Chordata, Aves, Passeriformes, Pipridae.